GAUCAUGGCUCAGGAUGAACGCUAGCGGGAGGCCUAACACAUGCAAGCCGAGCGUAUUGUUUCUUCGGAAAUGAGAGAGCGGCGUACGGGUGCGGAACACGUGUGCAACCUGCCUUUAUCUGGGGGAUAGCCUUUCGAAAGGAAGAUUAAUACUCCAUAAUAUAUUGAUUGGCAUCAAUUAAUAUUGAAAGCUCCGGCGGAUAGAGAUGGGCACGCGCAAGAUUAGCUAGUUGGUGAGGUAACGGCUCACCAAGGCGAUGAUCUUUAGGGGGCCUGAGAGGGUGAUCCCCCACACUGGUACUGAGACACGGACCAGACUCCUACGGGAGGCAGCAGUGAGGAAUAUUGGUCAAUGGGUGCAAGCCUGAACCAGCCAUCCCGCGUGAAGGACGACUGCCCUAUGGGUUGUAAACUUCUUUUGUAUAGGGAUAAACCUACCCUCGUGAGGGUAGCUGAAGGUACUAUACGAAUAAGCACCGGCUAACUCCGUG
This 491-nucleotide ribosomal RNA is filed under the name uncultured bacterium. Its description in RNAcentral is "bacterial SSU rRNA". It matches the Rfam family "Bacterial small subunit ribosomal RNA", at positions 15 to 507 of the family's 1533-position model. The record is from RNAcentral.